This 71-nucleotide non-coding RNA is filed under the name Paramoeba aestuarina. The record is from RNAcentral. Lineage: Eukaryota; Discosea; Flabellinia; Dactylopodida; Paramoebidae.
AAAGAAAAAGAAAAAGAAAAAGAAGAAAAAGAAGAAGAGUUGGCAACAACUUCCAACAUUUGUCUUCUCAU